This 609-nucleotide ribosomal RNA is filed under the name fungal sp. Its description in RNAcentral is "eukaryotic LSU rRNA". It matches the Rfam family "Eukaryotic large subunit ribosomal RNA", at positions 1 to 605 of the family's 3401-position model. Lineage: Eukaryota; Fungi. The record is from RNAcentral.
UUUAAGAAGUUUUUUUGAAAUUUCAUUAGCGGAGGAAAAGAAACCAACAGGGAUUACCUCAGUAACGGCGAGUGAAGCGGUAACAGCUCAAAUUUGAAAGCUAGCUCUUUUAGGGUUCGCAUUGUAAUUUGUAGAAGAUGCUUCGGGUGUGGCCCCGGUCUAAGUUCCUUGGAACAGGACGUCAUAGAGGGUGAGAAUCCCGUAUGUGACUGGGUGCUUUCGCUCAUGUGAAGCUCUUUCGACGAGUCGAGUUGUUUGGGAAUGCAGCUCAAAAUGGGUGGUAAAUUUCAUCUAAAGCUAAAUAUUGGCCAGAGACCGAUAGCGCACAAGUAGAGUGAUCGAAAGAUGAAAAGCACUUUGGAAAGAGAGUUAAACAGUACGUGAAAUUGUUGAAAGGGAAGCGCUUGCAACCAGACUUGCGCGUGGAUGAUCAUCCGAACUUCUGUCCGGUGCACUCUUCUACGCUCAGGCCAGCAUCGGUUUCGGUGGUGGGAUAAAGGCCUUGGGAAUGUAGCUCCUCUCGGGGAGUGUUAUAGCCCUCGGUGCAAUGCCGCCUACCGGGACCGAGGACCGCGCUCGGCUAUGGUAUGACAGCCGUACAUGGCCCCA